Long non-coding RNA from Harpia harpyja (harpy eagle), 1853 nucleotides. RefSeq lists it as uncharacterized. The record is from RefSeq and is a predicted model, not a curated record. NCBI's taxonomy places the organism in Eukaryota, Metazoa, Chordata, Aves, Accipitriformes, Accipitridae. The transcript is spliced from 3 exons.
UAUACUGUAGGCCGUUUUAUGUAAUUUGGGGCGCUUGCUGUUCAACUGAAGUAUUGGAAAUAAUGUCUUUUUGUUUUUUCAAUGCUACAAGUGAGCAACCGUGCCUUUAAGAAGUGGUCAGAUUGAGCUGACUACAUCCUUCAUUUAAACUCAGAAACAAGGAGCCAUGGAGAAUUGCGGAGAUAAAAUAUUUCUUUUGGAAAGCCUAAAUCUGCAAGACUCUUGGUUUUCUCUUAGCUGCUGAUACGCUUCAUCUUAGCAAAUCUUCCUGUCUCUGUGUCAGGAACUUGGACUCUGCAGCAAAAUCUGACCAAUCAAGAGCCUCGACACCAUUUUCUUUCCCUUGUUUUUCUCACUUUCAGCCAUUUUCUGUUACUUAACCUCGGAGGGAUGGGGGGGGGGGAAGGCAUCGAGAAUAGUACUUUGGGAAUUAAGAUAGUCUAUAUGAUUCCCCCUCCCCAUUUGUUCAUUGACAUAGGAUUCGUGUUUUUCAGUACAGAUUUUUUCUUUGUAAUAGAUGAUUACCAGUGAGAUUGCAGAAAUGAGUCUUAGUGAAAGCAAACUCAUUUCCUGUUACUGUCUGGGAUAGUGAGAGAUCUAUUUAUCUAAGCCUGUUUACAUAUGUUUAUGAUAAAAUUAUUUAUAAUUAAAUCCAAUAAAAUAGCUAUUUUUAUGUUUUGUAUAGUGGAUCUUUAGUAUCUUAUAUAAUCCAAUGGUCAGAAUACUUAAAUUCCAGCAGAAGUUUAGGUAAAAAAUAACGGGUUUUUGCAUGUUCAAGAAAUAAAUUAUUUUUGAGGAGUGAGACAGGGAAACAGGUUUUUAUUUGCCUUAAUCUCUAUCAUUUUUCCUCUAGUCUUUUGAAGGCUGUGGACUGUUUGACUAAAUACAGUAUUAUUUGGACUCAUUCUGAGACUUGAAUGCUUGAAUUGUGAAAAACACUAACACUCUAUCAGCUGAGAAGGAAACAGAUGUGCAAGGAUCUUUGCAGGAAGGCUCAUCUGGGACACCCAGGCUGUGAAAACUGUGGAGCACAAAGCAAGGGACAGUAUAAACUAAAGCAAUUGAGAGGAGAGGAAGAUAAUGAUCAGCCCUGGACCAACAAGGCAUUCAGCUAUGGAGACAGCAGUUGGGAAAAGGAACAUAUCCAGGAAAAAAAAUGAAGCUCCUUUACGUGGAUAUGGACUAGUCCUCUUCCAGGAGAGAUGAUUUUAAAAGUCUAAGAGAGGUAACUACACAGACACCAAAGAAAAUGCAAGGGUCGCCAAUGUUUGGUGCUCUCAGGCUACUUUGGUAAUCUCAGUCUAGGCCAAUAUAACACAGAAGUGUCACCAGACCAAACAUGUCACCCCACCUCUGCAUCCAAUGCCUGAAAACUGUAACAGAGGCAGCAGCACUGCCAGGCCAGUUCUUGCUGUUUCACUGGUGGUUUAGGUAAGUGUGUGCAGAGUUUGAGUUCACCUUGCAGCAGCACAAGUGCAGUCUACAUAGAAAUAUAAUGAACAGCUGAUCUAAUGUGAAAUAGUCAAUACUGAUUACAUGUUAUGAGGACUGAAUAGCAAUUGUAUGUAUAUGUGUGUCUGUGUGCGUGUCUAUAUGCAGUUAUACAUUUUCAGAUAUCUGUAACUUCUAGGAUCUUUAGACUUAGGAAGUUCUUAACUUAUCCCUAUAAAACUUAUCUGGUUUGAGGGCCCUGGAAUGAAUGCCUCUAAGAUCACAUUAGAGGUAUUUUGAAAUGUGUUGUAUUUAAUGAGCACUUGUAUACAUUGUAUUUUAAGAACAUUUCCAAAUACUGAUACCUUGUAUCCUGAAGAGUUUUUAGGGGGCUUGGUUUAAUUUUUUAGUGGGUUUUUUUU